GAAAUGCGAUAAUUAAUGUGAAUUGCAGAAUUCAGUGAAUCAUCGAGUCUUUGAACGCACAUUGCGCCCCCUGGUAUUCCGGGGGGCAUGCCUGUCCGAGCGUCAUUGCUGCCCUCAAGCACGGCUUGUGUGUUGGGCUUCCGUCCCUGGCAACGGGGACGGGCCCAAAAGGCAGUGGCGGCACCAUGUCUGGUCCUCGAGCGUAUGGGGCUUUGUCACCCGCUCCCGUAGGUCCAGCUGGCAGCUAGCCUCGCAACCAAUCUUUCUAACCAGGUUGACCUCGGAUCAGGUAGGGAUACCCGCUGAACUUAAGC
This 314-nucleotide unclassified non-coding RNA is filed under the name plant metagenome. RNAcentral describes it as "partial contains 5.8S ribosomal RNA, internal transcribed spacer 2, and large subunit ribosomal RNA". The stretch from base 1 to 105 matches the Rfam family "5.8S ribosomal RNA", at positions 50 to 154 of the family's 154-position model. The record is from RNAcentral.